GGCCCGGCGCCCUCACCUGCCCCGGGCGCCCCCGGGUGGGCCGCGGCCCGGUGGGCAGGGCACGCGCGCCCACGCCGCUCACAGCCCCACACUUGCGCCCGGGAGUCGCUUUGGGCGUGUUUCUCCCGUUCUUGGGCGACUCUGCUGGUUGAUGCUGAACAGUUCUGGGCCGUUUGCCUGGAAACAGCUGUAUCUUUGCUUUCCCACGACUGUGCUGUUGCGGGAGGACCGGCCGGAGCACCAGUGGGGCUCCUGUGCGGCGCGGCUUGAAAAGUUAGGACCCCUUGCCUGUUACUUGUAUACGUUGAACAGCUACAACCACGUUGUAUCUGGGAGUGAAAGCAAAGCGAAACUACAUCUUAGUGUUCUAAGCACAAAUUGUUUUCCUCGUUUUCAUUUCCUCCGCUGUGUGUUUGCCCGGAAAGGAUCUGGGAGCUCGGCUUGCUGGAGUAAAGGCUCCCAGCCCCGGUGGGUCCUUGAUGUACUGCUCUUUCCUUUUUUUCCCUUCCCCUCAGACAGAAUAAAGACGUCCGCCGUUACCCAGUGGGGGAGCCUUGUAGACAAAACCCCGGGAGAGUGUGGCUUCUUGGCCCAGUUUGCACCGCCCCCCCCCCAUUUAAAAUUAUUUUGCUACUUGCCACUUUUCCUACUUACUGGCUCACUGUUUCAGAUCCUAAUCUUGCUCUUAGGUUUUGUUUGUUUGUUUGUAUUUACUUCUCUUCUGGAGGAUUGAUUGCCACCAGCCCCCGCUUCACUCUUCACUGGGUGUAAAAUGUGCUAACUGUUAGGUGCCAGGAGAAACCGGUAGUUCGCACACAUGCCUCAUCAUCCCAGACCUGACCCUUUACUGGCUGCUCCUUCAUCGGUGUCGAAAAGGCUGGUGAUCACAGCAGCAAUUAACUGCAGACGAUUUCUCCCAGCCCCGGAGUCAGGCCAAGCGCCAUGCUCGGUUUAAACGCUCUUCAGUAAUGGUGACAAAAUACUUUCAAAAGAGGAGUCUCUAGAGCACGUUAUUUGGGUGCAGUAAUAUUGACCAAAAGAUUUAUGACUUCCAAGGAGAGAUUGCUAAACUCGGUGGCAAACAAAUGAGAGAAAGUUCUCUAAUUUGGAACUAGGAAUCUCUGACUUAGAGUGUCUAAUUGAAAAUCUUAGCAAAGCAAAGCUAAUUGUGAGAGCUAGCUUUUCAAACAGCCAGGACUUUAAAGGAUGAGCCACUCACUUGCAGGGACCCCUGUUCCUGCCUGGGAAACCAAACUCAUUGCUCUUGAGUUUGGGAUGCUUUCACUUCCCUUUAAUUAUUCUCUUAGGCCCAAGCACAUUCCUUUCCACUGGCUUGACUCUAAGCCACAAGGUAUCGCCUAGUAUCUUAGGAUAUCUGGCGUGUGAAUGGACACUCUCUGGUCAAUCACCAUUGACUUACCAGGCAUUAUCAUUGUACUUCAUUUUUCCUUGCUUAAUCAGAGAUACAUGGAUAUGAGUUAUGGGUGUACACAAAAAUCCAAAAGUAGUAAUUUGUCUAAUUUUAAAAUUGUUUCACUCUUCAUGCCAUCAAGAAUUUUUUGCUUACUUCUUUGCAGAGUUACUAAAAAGUUGAAAUGACUUCAAUACUCAUCCAAUCAAAAUACAUUGAAAAGUACAUUUGAAUGCAAAGUGCUGUAAGUCAAUCAAAUCUGAACUCAGAAGCCAACAUGAAUGAUUCUUGGGUCACCUGUGCCUUUGAAAGAGUGUCUGAGUCACACUUUUACCUGCAUUUGUACCUGUCCCAACAUCACCUCCUGUGCUGGGUGAGAAGUGCACUCCCCACUCCCCAUAUGAAAGGCUAUUUGAUUUUAUAUUUGACCAUAUAUGCCGUGGCCCUAUUGUUCAUUUACUAGUAGAUGGGUUUUAUCGGCCAGUGACUUUUCCCCAAGCCGAAUCUGCCCUGACUCUCCCGCACAGCUUUUCUUUCUGAGACAGGAAAGGAGGAAUAGGGUGCAAGCCUGAGACAAAACUGUGCCCCUCGUGUUAUGGCCGUGAGUGCCCUCUGUUCUCAGUUAAGCAGUCAGACGGAAGGGAGGUGUCCCCACCACACGCGGCCUUCAGACUCCUCCCUCACUGGUCCCAGGGACACCCCUUUCAGAGAUUAUUUCUCAGGAUCAGAAAUGUGCACUUCCCUAUGUGUGUGGUGAUGCCUGCCCAGUGGUGUUGGCACCGUCAGGCCCUCACUCACUCUCCUGGGACUCAGUGACCCGGAACUGCAAUGAAGUGAGAGUUAGUUCCCGUGUGAGUAUGGACUGUGUUCUGCUGCAAAUGUAAUUUAAACGAGAAGGCUGAUUUCCAAUUUAGACCCAAUGACAGAGACACCACCAGCAGCCCAAUAUUUCAGGAGUGCCAUUGGUGAAGACAUGAUCCAAACCAUCCUGUUCUUAACGUAUAGACUUGAUCAGAAGGAAGGUGUAUGCGACAACUAGGUAACAACCGGCAGGAAGAGUGUGUGUGCAUUGUGAGUGUGUAAGGGUGGACCCUCACAGAUGUAUUAGUGGUGUCGAUUAAUCACAUACGCAAAGAGCCAGUGCGGUUUAGGGACGAGACAAUCUUCAAUUUUAUCUGCUUUGAUUAAGCAACUGAAUUUGGAGGACUCAUUCACCCUCCGCCUCCGGCCCUGGCAGACUUGCCCCUUCUCCCAGGGACCCCUCCCUCCCUUCCUUUGUUCCAUACAUGUGCCCUGGGCCCUUCUUCAUGCCUUGUGUUCUGCCUGGUGAUGGCCGGGCCACAGUGAGGGGGACCCACCCCGCCUCUGGAAGCUCGCAGUUCGGCAAGAAGCUGGUCAGUGCUGCGGUCAAGGUAAAUCGAGGGCCGGGAGAGCCUCUAACCAGCUCUGGGGAACUCAGGGAAACUUCCCUGAGGACAUCCCACCUCCAAAUCAGAGGGGAAAAUAGAAUUAUAAGCUCAGUGUAUUAUUUUCAUGAGUGUUACGGUACAUUAUACUCAGAAGGGGGGAUAAAUCUACCCACAGGUUCUUUCGUAUUCCUCCAGGGGUUUGCAUUUAAAAAUGAGCCUAAAGCUCCCUCCUGUGAGAUACCAACAUGUCAUUGCCUCUGUUAUUAACGUGGUAGCUGAACUUUCCUCCUGGAAGGGUAGAGACACUGAGGGACGAGGUCUCAGAGAACAGAGGUGAGAAGUGCCCAGCUCCCAUCAGUGGCCCUGAGAUUGGUGGUGUCCCCUCUCCUGAGGCUGCAGGCCCAUCAGGAUGUUUGGAAAGUUGCCGCAUGGAUGGCUGAUUCUAGACUGGAGUGCCUUUAGGAACUGACCCAGAAAACCUACCCUCACUUGGGCAAGGGCAUGAGGGAAUUCACAAAACCCUGCAUUAUUCAUUAACAAGACUGUUGGCAAAUGUCUUGGGACUGGUAGGGAUGGUCAUAACUUUACCAGUUCAGUUAUUGGUUAAGAGCUGGUAAAGGUUUUGCAGACCAGUCGAACCCACCAGCGAGGCUCUAAGACAAUCCCUUUUAGAAAUCCGGAGGGCAUCAAGACUGGAAUAAGUUACGACACUUGUUUUGCAGAAGUAUAUACAAUGUUUGUUAUAACAUUUGUUCCAGAAAUUUAAAAAGGAUUAACCUCAUUAAAAUGCCUCUCCAGCACAUUCGGUAUUUUGAAUUCUUGAGGUGGAGUGAGCAAAAGCAACAAUAGAAUGCCUAAAAUAAUAUCAUUAGGGGAUUGUUCUUCCUGCUAUUAUUCAACAACCACUAAAAAAUGUCAACUGUAAAACAAUACAAAAGAAUAUUCCUACCAUUCUGACGUGUACAAUGAAAGAGGAUAUAAACCAGAACACGUUUCAAUGGUUAAUUUCUUUUGAGGAGUUGAACCCCGUAAGAAUGACUGGGGUUAAUAUUUUUCUCGUCCGGCAGCCAGUGAGCUGCUUCCAGCCUUUGUUUCCCUCCAUUGUUCUCCUGGUCCCAAUCCAGUGACAUGGGUCUCCUCUAGUUUUCUUCUGCGUCUCCCUCCUGCCUGUCCCCAGGCCUUCAGCGUUGGCUGUGCCGUGGGGUCUGCUCAGCUGGCUCCUCUGUCCUCCCCGUGCUAUCUCCUCUCUCACUGGGGAGAUCUCCUGGAAGGAUUCCUCAUCAUUCCCUGAAGGGGGCUCCAGACUUUUCUCUUGAUUUCCAGUCUUGGGUCUUCAUGUUCCUGUGGGACAGGUCACCUGGGCUCUGGUCUCAGACUCAGUGAGAGUGUUCAGAACCCAACUUGCUGCUUUUUACCCACGCCGGACCGCCUGCCCAUCCCGACUGUGGUCUUUUGGUUGUUGAUGUCCCCGCGGCUCCUGACGCUCAGCUUGGACACAGUGGCUUCACCCCGAGGCCUCGCCCUCUCUGCUUUCCCACCUCCGCGUCACUCAGUCCCCAAGGCUGCAUUGUCUUAGUUCUAGGGGCUUCACUGUCCCUGCCUGCUUUCUUCUCCCACGGCCACGGCCCCCUUCCGGUCUGUGCACCUUGGGCCGGGUGGCCACAAAGCCCUCCGGCUCCCGCGCCUCGUUGCGGCCACAGGUUCUGUCCAUUUGUCAUGUUGUCAUGAGGCUAACGGUAUUCAGAGAGCCCGCUUAGGACCACGUGAUUCCCCUGACAGUGGCUACGUGCUGUCUAACCAAACCUUCCCUUCUUUUCAGCUGGGUGGUUUGUGUUUGUUUUUUAAUAAAGACUUUAUUUUUUAUAGAGCAGCUUUAGGCUGACAGGAAGGUGCAGACAAUGCCCCCCACACCCCCUCGCCCCCCACUUGAGCACAGCCUCCCCCAUUAUCAACGUCGCCAGCCAGAGCGCCCCGUUUGUCCCAAUGGAUGAGCCUAUGGUGACGCAUCAUUGUCACCCAGACCCAGAGUGUCUGGUUUACAUGAGGGUCACCCUUGGUGUUGUGCGUUCUGUGGGUUUGGACAGAUGUGCAGUGACAUGUCGCCGUCACUGAAUAUCACACCACGCGUUUUCACUACCCUCAAGAUCCCCUGGGCAACUCUGCUCAUCCUUCCCUUCCCCCACCCUCCUGGCAACCACUGAUCCUUUUAUUGUCUCUACAGUGCUACCUUUUCCAGAAUGUCAUAUAGAACGUAGCCUUUUCACACUGGCUUCUUUCUCUCGGGGAUACGCCUUUCAGGUUCCUCCGUGUCUUUUCAUGGCUUCAUAGCUACUGUGUUUUUAGCACUGAGUAAGAGUCCACCUUCUGGACGUACUGCUGCUUAUACAUCCAUCACCUACCGAGGGGUAUCUUGGUUGCUUCCAGGUUUUGGCGAUUAUGAAUAAAGCUGCCGUGAACAUCCAAGUGCAGGUUUUUGUGUGGACAUAAGUUCUUGCCUCCUUUGGGUAAACACCUGGGCAUGUGAUUGCUGGGUAGUAUGGCGGAAGCAUGCUCAGCUAUGGGUGCCCACCAUGCUGUGUUCCAAGGUGGCUGUGCGUCCCCACCGUUAUCAUUAUGAACGAGAGUUCCUGUGUCUCCACCACACCCUCCUCAGCACUCGGCGUUGUUGGUGUUGGGUUUUGACCAUUCUCCAUAGUAAGUGUGUCUCGUGGUGUCUCAUUGCCACUUUAAUUUGGAUUGGGUUUGCGUGCCCACCGCAGCCCGGAUCCGUGGAAUUUAUGUGGCCUUCUUCUUCGUGACCCCCCAACCUAGAGGUUGGGUAAUUGUCACAAUGGACCAGUCUCUGUGUUCCAUGGGAUGAUGUAAUCGCUUUGAGCCUCAGGUCCCUACUCUAAUAAUAUGAUGUCCGUGGGAACCUUCACAUUGCCCAGUGCAGUUGUGCCCUCAAAGCAGGUCAGAACUCAAGAAAUGUGGGGUGUUAUCACUGCCGCGUGGCUGGGAUCUCAUCGUCUUAUGUGUGUUAGUCUGACGGCCCUGACAAUUCCGAGACACUGGAGGACACGGCUUCUUUUGAAAACGCCCCCACUACGCGAGGAGCGCCUGUCCCAUGGAGGGAAAUCACUGAGCUCUUGUCAUCGGUGCUAGUGUUUGUGGGUCGCAUUCAACUCUCCACCCCGCUGGGACCCCAGGCUGGCACAUGGGAGUGGUGUUUCAUCUCUGUGGCGGUGUCGGGGAACGGGAAUAAAAUUAGUGCCAAACAAAGGUGUUUCCUCUUCAUUUGGAAUUUGGAGUAGUUACUGCACCAUAGACUAAACACGACUUGGAAAUAUACACAGUGCUGAACUCUUGACGUAAAUAGUUCAUUCCGUGGUUUAGUGACAUUCCUCGCUUUGACAUCUUUGAUUUUUCAUCUGCUCACUAUAAGAACGUUUCAUGUCACCUGAGUUGUGAGUCUUGCUGGAUUUGUGGUGAAGCACAAGACAAAUGAAAGCACCCAAUGGGACAUUAAAGGAAUAGUCCAUGCGCCAUGUGGCGUUGGUUUCACCUCCUGCUGCUGAAGGACAGUUCUUGAACCCCCCUCAUCUUCUCCUGCUCUUAGAAUCAGUACUUUGUUCAGAGUUUGGGAAUGACUUUGUUCGUUACUGAACACAUAGCUCAGUGGCCUGUGGGCAUUUCUUUCUGGGUCCGAUAACAGCAGGUUGUGGCUUGGUCUGGGUGAAGCCGUAAUGGGAGUCCAUUGCUUUCCACAUGUACUGACAGUCGGAGGAGCUGUUUGUACCCUCUCUCAGAGAGAGUCUAGCCACUUAAAAUAAAUGUCGUGCAAACCCAGCAGAAUAUUUUGGAGACCUAGUAUGCCUGUGUCUGACGUUUUCGUUAAAGUUGUUAAAAGUUUUAUUGACUGCUUUAGAAAAUCAACAUAUUCCUCCAUGGAGAACAGAACCCAGGGCUUUGUAGUUGUAACUCGGAAUGCCUCCAGAGCUGUUAGCACAAGUUUUCACGGCAGCCGCUCACACUGGGUGAUGGGAAGAGGUUCAGAGAGGUGGGUGGCAGGCCACGGGGGUGCCUUCACUUGGGACAGGUGAAUCUUCCCUGACAUAUGUCAGCUAGCACGUGGGGCAUUUGGCAGGCCUCAGGAUGUUACAGAUAAACCGAGGAUAACUAUACUGGUCUAUUCCUUUGUUUCUGAUAAGGAAGUGUUAAUGGAUACUUAUACAUACAUAUGUAAGUGUAUAAUGUAUCUAUCAGUGGAAGAUUGGGGGCUACGUCUGCAACAGUAUUUUUUAUAAAGUAAGCAUAUUAUUUUAUAAUACAAAGAAACAACCACAGUUUAUUCUAAAACCCCACCAGGAUCCUUUCAAUCAACCAGUCGGCACAGGAGUAUUUAUUCCUACAUCAUCCAAGAGCGUCAGCCCUAAAAUGUCAUUUUAAAAUGCAGGCAACUCCUUUUCCUAAGUAGCGUUAAUUUUUCAAGUCACGUUUUAGAAUUUUUUUUUU
This is a long non-coding RNA of Herpailurus yagouaroundi (jaguarundi), 7314 nucleotides long. RefSeq lists it as uncharacterized. The record is from RefSeq and is a predicted model, not a curated record. Lineage: Eukaryota; Metazoa; Chordata; Mammalia; Carnivora; Felidae. The transcript has 2 exons.